CCUACGGGAGGCAGCAGUAGGGAAUCUUCCGCAAUGGACGAAAGUCUGACGGAGCAACGCCGCGUGAGUGAUGAAGGUUUUCGGAUCGUAAAGCUCUGUUGUUAGGGAAGAACAAGUGCCGUUCGAAUAGGGCGGCACCUUGACGGUACCUAACCAGAAAGCCACGGCUAACUACGUGCCAGCAGCCGCGGUAAUACGUAGGUGGCAAGCGUUGUCCGGAAUUAUUGGGCGUAAAGCGCGCGCAGGUGGUUCCUUAAGUCUGAUGUGAAAGCCCACGGCUCAACCGUGGAGGGUCAUUGGAAACUGGGGAACUUGAGCGCAGAAGAGGAAAGUGGAAUUCCAAGUGUAGCGGUGAAAUGCGUAGAUAUUUGGAGGAACACCAGUGGCGAAGGCGACUCUCUGGUCUGUAACUGACACUGAGGCGCGAAAGCGUGGGGAGCAAACAGGAUUAGAUACCCUGGUAGUCCACGCCGUAAACGAUGAGUGCUAAGUGUUAGGGGGUUUCCGCCCCUUAGUGCUGCAGCUAACGCAUUAAGCACUCCGCCUGGGGAGUACGGUCGCAAGACUGAAACUCAAAGGAAUUGACGG
RNAcentral lists this ribosomal RNA (588 nucleotides) under uncultured bacterium. RNAcentral's name for it is "bacterial SSU rRNA". It matches the Rfam family "Bacterial small subunit ribosomal RNA", at positions 338 to 916 of the family's 1533-position model. The record is from RNAcentral.